UUAAAAAAAAACUUGUGUAUUUUUCAUUGUUUCUCUCACUUUUGGUUUAAGUGCUGCUUUCAGAAUCGGAUGAUGACAUCACCGAUGACAGUUCAGAUGACGAACCCUUGGUUAAGAUGAUGACCAGGAAGCCAUCAAAUGAGGAGCUGAAAACAACAGUUAAGAAACUGGGUGCCCAUUUCGACCUGGAGAAAGUCACAAUGAAGGACAUUUUCAAGAAGGUUUUUAAAAUGUACCCUCGUCAUGACCUGUCAAACAAGAAGUCCUAUAUCAAGGAGACAGUGAAAAAGUUGUCGGAGUGUAGUCUGGAGUUCUUUGCUAAUCGCCACCUUCCAUGAGGCAACAGGUAGCCGAGUGGUUCACAUUGGGCCAGUAACCAAAAAGGUUUCUGGAUCGAAUCCCGAGCUGACAAGGUAAAAAGUGUCGUUCUGCCCCUGAGCAAGGCAGUUUAACCCACUGUUCCCCGGGCGCCGAAAACGUGGGUGUUGAUUAAGGCAGCCCCCCGCACCUCUCGGAUUCAACUGACACAAUCAGUUGUGUUGUGACAAGGUAGGGGUGGUAUACAGAAGAUAGCCCUAUUUGGUAAAAGACCAAGUCCAUUUUAUGGCAAGAAUAGCUCAAAUAACCAAAGAAAAACGACAGUCCAUCAUUACUUUAAGACAUGAAGGUAGUAUAAAAUGGACUUUGAAAGUUUCUUCAAGUGCAGUCACAAAAACCACCAAGCGCUAUGAUGAAACUGGCUCUCAUGAGGACCGCCACAGGAGAGGAAGACCCUGAGUUACCUCUGCUGCAGAGUAUAAGUUCAUUAUAGAGUUACCAUCUUCAGAAAUAUCAGCCCAAAUAAAUGCUUCACAGAGCUCAAGUAACAGACACAUCUCAACAUCAACUGUUCAGAGGAGACUGCAUGAAUCAGACCUUCAUGGUUGUAUUGCUGCAAGGAAACGACUACUAAAGGACACCAAUAGGAAGAAGGGACUUGCUUCUGACGAGAAACACAAGCAAUGGACAUUAGACCGGUGGAAAUGGUCUGAUGGGUUCAAAUGUACGAUUUUUUUGGUUCUAACCGCCGUGUCCUUGUGAGACGCAGAGUAAGUGAAUGGAUGAUCUCCGCAUGUGUGGUUCCCACCAUGAAGCAUGGAGUAGGUGAUAUGGGGGUGCUUUGCUGGUGACACUGUCUAUUUAUUUAAUUCAAGGCACACUUAACCAGCAUGGCUACCACACCAUCCCAUCUGGUUUGGGCUUUGUGGGACUAUGACCCAACACAUCUCCAGGCUGUGUAAGGGCUAUUUGACCAAGAAGGAGAGUGAUGGAGUGCUGCCUCAGAUUACCUGGCCUCCACAAUCACCCAACCUCAAUCCAAUUGAGAUGGUUUGGAAAGAGUUGGACCGCACACUGACGGAAAAGCAGCCAACAAACGCUCAGCAUAUGUGGGAAGUCCUUCAAGACUGUUGGAUAAGCAUUCCUCAUGAAGCUGGUUGAGAGAAUGCCAAGAGUGCAAAGCUGUCAUCAAGGCAAAGGGUGGCUACUUUGAAGAAUCUAAAAUCUAUUUUGAUUUGUUAAAUACUUUUGAUUACUACAUGAUUCUGUAUGUUAUUUAAGAAUUUUGACGUCUUCAUUAUUAUUCUACAAUAUAGAAAAUAGUAAAAAUAAAGAAAAACCUUAAUGAGUAGGUGUAUCCAAACUUUUGGUACUGUAUGUUGCACACAUUGUUCACUGUACUAUGCAUUGUAGCCUAUUUUACUGUAUCAUAGAGCUGUCCUUUUCCACUGAUGGUCCUGUUAGUUUUUUUAAAGCUAAUUCCAGUCAACCUUUUUAAUUAGCAAUGAAACAUUGUAUCCUAUGUUAUUUAAAAACAAAUUUUACCCAUCAAUGAUAAUGAAUGACCAAAUCACUUGUAACAGAGGAAGUUCCUCCUCUCUUUAGUCCCCAAAGCUUGCUCUCUCUGGCCAGGGUUCAAUAGCGGAGGGGUUGCGUAGGGCAGCCUUCCCCCGGUCCAGGCCUGGUACUCCAGGGGUCCCUGUUCACCCACAUCCAGAAGCCACUGAAGAAGCAUGGACUGGUCCCUCUGGGCUUUAAAUGAAUCAAUUUCUGGAUCUGGAGCUGCUCAGUCUUAGACAGCAAGCUGGUGAGGUCAGUGAUCCCUGAAGUGCUUCAGCGCCUCCUUCCACAUCUUGUUCUCCUGUACAUCAUGUUUAGCUACAACCUGGCCUGCCCUGUGAACGGUCUUGGUUUACACUGAUGCGAUGCUGCCUGGCCAGAGAAGGAGAGCGUUGGAACUUUCUUUGUUAAUUGAUUUGGUAAUUCACUAUCAGGUAAAACAUUAUUGGGAUACAAUUAGGAUGGACAAUAAAAUGUCAUCUUUAUUUCCAA
Oncorhynchus masou masou (cherry salmon) is the source of this 2370-nucleotide long non-coding RNA. RefSeq lists it as uncharacterized. The transcript has 3 exons. The record is from RefSeq and is a predicted model, not a curated record. NCBI's taxonomy places the organism in Eukaryota, Metazoa, Chordata, Actinopteri, Salmoniformes, Salmonidae.